This is a long non-coding RNA of Austrofundulus limnaeus, 347 nucleotides long. RefSeq lists it as uncharacterized. The transcript is spliced from 3 exons. NCBI's taxonomy places the organism in Eukaryota, Metazoa, Chordata, Actinopteri, Cyprinodontiformes, Rivulidae. The record is from RefSeq and is a predicted model, not a curated record.
AAACUAUGAGCACUGUGCUGCUGCCAGAGAGCGGAGAAACUGAUCAUCAGAAGGAAUAUUUCCAGCUCUGCUCUGACUCAGAGUGGUUUGCAUGGAGUUACUAUUUGUACAAUAAAACUGAAAUCCAUCCAUUAUCUUCCACUUAUACCAAAGUUGGGCAGCAGCUUGAUCAGGAAGACCGAAGUGUCCCAAGGAGUACUGACCUUUCCGAGCCUGCAUGAGGACCACUUGUUAAGAGCCACUCACCUGAGUUCCAUGUGCCUACCUUUUACCUCCAACAAACCUGUAAAUAUCUACUCACCUGUAAAUACUUACCUCUGGAUUUGAACCAACUCCUCCACGCCAAA